Molecule: non-coding RNA, 113 nt
Organism: Saccharopolyspora rectivirgula
Lineage: Bacteria; Bacillati; Actinomycetota; Actinomycetes; Pseudonocardiales; Pseudonocardiaceae
Source: Rfam
GGACGCGGAUUUCGUGAGGCCUCGGUCCGCUCGGCCACUGCUCGCCUGGUGCAUCUUCCCCGGCGCCAGGAGGCAGCGAGCGGGCGGGGACCUGACGGGAUCCGCGGCGGCGG